GAUGAACGCUGGCGGCGUGCCUAAUACAUGCAAGUCGAGCGAACAGACGAGGAGCUUGCUCCUCUGACGUUAGCGGCGGACGGGUGAGUAACACGUGGAUAACCUACCUAUAAGACUGGGAUAACUUCGGGAAACCGGAGCUAAUACCGGAUAAUAUAUUGAACCGCAUGGUUCAAUAGUGAAAGACGGUUUUGCUGUCACUUAUAGAUGGAUCCGCGCCGCAUUAGCUAGUUGGUAAGGUAACGGCUUACCAAGGCAACGAUGCGUAGCCGACCUGAGAGGGUGAUCGGCCACACUGGAACUGAGACACGGUCCAGACGCCUACGGGAGGCAGCAGUAGGGAAUCUUCCGCAAUGGGCGAAAGCCUUACGGAGCAACGCCGCGUGAGUGAUGAAGGUCUUCGGAUCGUAAAACUCUGUUAUUAGGGAAGAACAAAUGUGUAAGUAACUAUGCACGUCUUGACGGUACCUAAUCAGAAAGCCACGGCUAACUACGUG
This 497-nucleotide ribosomal RNA is filed under the name uncultured bacterium. RNAcentral's name for it is "partial 16S ribosomal RNA". It matches the Rfam family "Bacterial small subunit ribosomal RNA", at positions 28 to 507 of the family's 1533-position model. The record is from RNAcentral.